ACACUCCUGCGGGAGGCAGCAGUGGGGAAUUUUGGACAAUGGGCGAAAGCCUGAUCCAGCAAUGCCGCGUGAGUGAAGAAGGCCUUCGGGUUGUAAAGCUCUUUUGUCAGGGAAGAAACGGUGAGAGCUAAUAUCUUUUGCUAAUGACGGUACCUGAAGAAUAAGCACCGGCUAACUACGUGCCAGCAGCCGCGGUAAUACGUAGGGUGCAAGCGUUAAUCGGAAUUACUGGGCGUAAAGCGUGCGCAGGCGGUUUUGUAAGUCUGAUGUGAAAUCCCCGGGCUCAACCUGGGAAUUGCAUUGGAGACUGCAAGGCUAGAAUCUGGCAGAGGGGGGUAGAAUUCCACGUGUAGCAGUGAAAUGCGUAGAUAUGUGGAGGAACACCGAUGGCGAAGGCAGCCCCCUGGGUCAAGAUUGACGCUCAUGCACGAAAGCGUGGGGAGCAAACAGGAUUAGAUACCCCUGUAGUCCCA
Molecule: ribosomal RNA, 473 nt
Filed under: uncultured organism
Description: partial 16S ribosomal RNA
Rfam family: Bacterial small subunit ribosomal RNA
Source: RNAcentral